Molecule: long non-coding RNA, 1256 nt
Organism: Eptesicus fuscus (big brown bat)
Lineage: Eukaryota; Metazoa; Chordata; Mammalia; Chiroptera; Vespertilionidae
Exons: 3
Source: RefSeq, a predicted model, not a curated record
GCCUGGCCCCCAAUUUCCAAAUUAUUAUUAUUUCUUGUCUUGUCCCUUUCAUUUGCGCGCGGCCUCCUCCAGAGCCCGAACUCUGAACCUGAACCCUGAACCACGCGGGACGUGAGGGGACGCUCGCAGGUUUGAGCUCAUUAUCUGGAGAAAGCACAUGGGAGGAGUUUCGGAGGCCAAACUGUUAGUACCAGGUUCUUCCUGCACAGCGGUGAGGGGGACGUCCCAGCUCCAUCAGAACCACCCAGUGGAUGGGAUUGAGCAAGGUCCAGACCAGCUGACCAGCUUCACACGUGCACAGAUUGGGGGUGCAUGAUACCUUCACUCAACCCCAGCAUCCCAGCUUGGGACCACCAGAAUGUGCUGCUGUGCCCUGUGGGGUCAGGCCAGGAGCUGAGGAGUCAAGUAGGGGAGAGGGAUACCCCACUGGGGACAGAGGGUUCCCUUGCAAAAAGAGCCUCUUGGAAGGGAGGCCGUGGGACCAGAGUCACAGCCAAGUCACUGCUACACAGGAACCCUUUGUGAACGGCUCAGCCUGGCCAGGCUGGGCUGCAGGGCAGAGAGCCCCUCGGAGACCCAGGGUGUGUCCCAAACGCAGCUGGAGCCAGGAGGAAGCAAGGGCACCAUGCUAGGAUGGAGGAGAGGAAGGCUGCGGGAGGGGACAGCGGGCACGAGUCCAGUGCCUCCCCCAGGGUCCCCUUGCAGUCUGCAUGCACCCCCCUCCCCAGAGCAGGAAGUUGAGAAUCUUGGUCCUCCGAGGAUGGAUGCCCCAGGAGAUGAGUCCAGCUUUUGCACAGCAGCUGCACCAUUUUACGUAACCACCAGCAAUGCACAAGGGUUCCAAUAUCGCCACAUCUUCACCAACAUCCAAUGUUCUCCAUCUUUAAGAUAAAAUAACCACCUAACGGGUGUGAAGUAGUAUCUUUUGGUGGCUUUGAUUUGCAUUUCCAUAAUGACUAAAGGCGUUAAGCAUCUUUUUAUGUGCUUGUUGGUGCUUGUAUAUCUUCAUUAGAGAAAUGUCUGUUCAGACUCUUUGCCCAUUUUUGAACUGGGCUGUUUGUUUUUUUGUUUGUUUGUUUUUGUUGUUGAGUUGAAGGGGUUCUUUACAUGGUAUAGAUAUUAAACCCUCACCAGAUAUGUAAUUUACAAAUAUUUUCUUCCAUUCUGUGGGAUCCCUUUUUACAACUGUUAACUGUGUCCUUUGAUGCACACGUUUUUUAUUUUAAUGAAGUCCAAUUUACCUAUUCUUUUCUUUA